UACGGAAGGCAGCAGUGGGGAAUAUUGCACAAUGGGCGAAAGCCUGAUGCAGCUAUGCCGCGUGUAUGAAGAAGGCCUUAGGGUUGUAAAGUACUUUCAUCGGGGAGGAAAAAACAAAACUAAUAAUUUUAUUUCUUGACGUUACCCGAAAAAGAAGCACCGGCUAACUCCGUGCCAGCAGCCGCGGUAAUACGGAGGGUGCUAGCGUUAAUCAGAAUUACUGGGCGUAAAGAGCACGUAGGUGGUUUUUUAAGUCAGAUGUGAAAUCCCUGGGCUUAACCUGGAACUGCAUUUUGAAACUGAAAUACUAGAGUAUCGUAGAGGGAGGUAGAAUUCUAGGUGUAGCGGUGAAAUGCGUAGAUAUCUGGAGGAAUACCUGUGGCGAAAGCGGCCUCCUAAACGAAUACUGACACUGAGGUGCGAAAGCGUGGGGAGCGAAACAGGGAUUUAGAUACC
Molecule: ribosomal RNA, 456 nt
Filed under: uncultured bacterium
Lineage: Bacteria
Description: bacterial SSU rRNA
Rfam family: Bacterial small subunit ribosomal RNA
Source: RNAcentral